RNAcentral lists this ribosomal RNA (459 nucleotides) under uncultured bacterium. RNAcentral's name for it is "partial 16S ribosomal RNA". It matches the Rfam family "Bacterial small subunit ribosomal RNA", at positions 338 to 795 of the family's 1533-position model. The record is from RNAcentral.
CCUACGGGUGGCAGCAGUGAGGAAUAUUGGUCAAUGGGCGAGAGCCUGAACCAGCCAAGUCGCGUGAGGGAAGACGGUCCUAUGGAUUGUAAACCUCUUUUGCCGGGGAGCAAAAAGCGGUACGUGUACCGCAUCGAGAGUACCCGGAGAAAAAGCAUCGGCUAACUCCGUGCCAGCAGCCGCGGUAAUACGGAGGAUGCGAGCGUUAUCCGGAUUUAUUGGGCUUAAAGGGAGCGUAGGCGGGCGUUCAAGUCAGCUGUAAAAUCGCGCGGCUCAACCGCGCCCCGCAGUUGAAACUGGACGCCUUGAGUUCACAACAGGCAGGCGGAAUUCGUGGUGUAGCGGUGAAAUGCAUAGAUAUCACGAGGAACCCCGAUUGCGAAGGCAGCCUGCCGGGGUGCGACUGACGCUGAGGCUCGAAGGUGCGGGUAUCAAACAGGAUUAGAUACCCGGGUAGUC